Molecule: ribosomal RNA, 468 nt
Filed under: uncultured bacterium
Lineage: Bacteria
Description: bacterial SSU rRNA
Rfam family: Bacterial small subunit ribosomal RNA
Source: RNAcentral
CGGCGCACGGGUGAGUAACACGUAUCCAACCCGCCGAUAACUCCGGAAUAGCCUUUCGAAAGAAAGAUUAAUACCGGAUAGUAUACGAAUAUCGCAUGAUAUUUUUAUUAAAGAAUUUCGGUUAUCGAUGGGGAUGCGUUCCAUUAGUUUGUUGGCGGGGUAACGGCCCACCAAGACUACGAUGGAUAGGGGUUCUGAGAGGAAGGUCCCCCACAUUGGAACUGAGACACGGUCCAAACUCCUACGGGAGGCAGCAGUGAGGAAUAUUGGUCAAUGGGCGCGAGCCUGAACCAGCCAAGUAGCGUGAAGGAUGAAGGCUCUAUGGGUCGUAAACUUCUUUUAUAUGGGAAUAAAGUUUUCCACGUGUGGAACUUUGUAUGUACCAUAUGAAUAAGGAUCGGCUAACUCCGUGCCAGCAGCCGCGGUAAUACGGAGGAUCCGAGCGUUAUCCGGAUUUAUUGGGUUUAA